This 1170-nucleotide long non-coding RNA is filed under the name Homo sapiens (human). RNAcentral's name for it is "non-protein coding LINC01586:1". Lineage: Eukaryota; Metazoa; Chordata; Mammalia; Primates; Hominidae. The record is from RNAcentral.
CGCCCCCACACCUCUAGCCUGCCCAGCAUCCCGUAGGAGCGCUCACCUGCUGGGCUCCGGAGUCGCCUUCCUUCCUCUUCAUUUUGGCAAGGCACAUUUGGCGGGUGCCAAGCCUGGCCGCUCGCUUCUCCGGCCCUCCAGAGCAGCCUCAGGCUUAGCUUCCCGAAUAUCAGCUCCAGUUGGCUGCUUCUCCAGUCCCGAGCCCUUGACCUGGAGGAGGGGACGGGACCGGGGACCUCGGCUGGGAUUUUUACCUGGCAUGGGUCGCCGCGGCUAGGGAGGAAGACCACUUGCUCUCCGUUUCUUUCUGGAAGAAAGCCCCUCACCACCCAGCUGCCGGUACUUUGCUUCCCCCCAGGAGCCGCAGUGCAAGUAGCAGCGCAGUGCGGGGGAGGGGGUGGGGUUUGAGGAAGCUGUUUGUGAAGUGCCCCUUGAAUACUUGCCUCUCUGAGGCCAUCAGUCCUGUCCGGGUCCGUAGUCCUGGCAUGGUCCGCCGGGUGCAAACACAGUCGCCGCGGCUGCCGGGCCAGAGGAGAACAGCUGCUUUAAAGCUGAGACCAACCCACGGGUGGCCUGUCAGGGCCACGGAUGUUCAUGACGUCAUCCUGAAGGCGAGCGGAGAAAGCGAGUGGAGAGGGGGGAGCCGCGCUUCACAUCAAAUGUCCCCUGUGGCCAUGGCAACAGCUUUGGGGGAGGGGGUGCCGGUCCGCGGGCCAGCAGCGGGCAGCCUGCGACUCCUGCCAGGGUCCAGCGCUCCGCUGGGGUAGAGUCCGUCAUUAGUGCUGAAUCCAGUUGUGCCCGGACCAGAAGAGACACCAGAGCCAGUCCCGUCCCCUCCCCGGGCUGGUCAUAGCAGGCCCAACCCUGGACGGACACACAAAUAUCUGUGCUGCCCACAUCCAGCCAACACAGGCAGCAGGAUAUUUCCUCCUAGUCAGACUGGUGCCGUGCCAGAAGCCACACAGCUGAUAAGUGGUGGAUCCAUCUUGAAUUUGACUUCUAGACACUCCCUUUUCAUAGGACAGUGGGAGUUUAAUCAUGGACAACAAUUCUUCUUCAGAUUAGAACUUAAUUGGAGGACAGAUUGGCAGCUCAGCCGACCUUACUGUCAUCGCCAUUAGCCAAAUAAAGAUAAACCUUGACACUGCCAGUUUCCUCAAUAUUCUCAUG